CAACCUCUGGCGAAAUCCGUGAAUGUUG
Molecule: regulatory RNA element, 28 nt
Organism: Flavobacterium fluvii
Lineage: Bacteria; Pseudomonadati; Bacteroidota; Flavobacteriia; Flavobacteriales; Flavobacteriaceae
Rfam family: L19-Flavobacteria ribosomal protein leader
Source: Rfam